UGUAUAAUUAUUAAAGUUUGAUUCUUACUUAGAAUUUUAGGUUUAUAAAAAUUUACAUGUAAGUUUUAGCGUGAAGAAUUUUAAAUAUUAUGAUUUAUAUAUUAAAUAGAAGUAUAGUCGCAGUGUUUAAUAUUAAGUGUUAAAUUAUUUUAGAUAUAAUUUUGUAAAAAUUAAUUGGUUAAAUUCGUGCCAGCAGCCGCGGUUAUACGUAAAAUUAUAUUAAAAUUUAUUGGUUAAAAAUGAAUUAUAUUAUAAAUAAUUAAGAAGUGGUGUAUAAUUGUUAGAUUUAAUGAAGUAAAAUUCGUAUAUUGUGAAAUUUAUAUAUUGUGUUAUUUUUAAUAAUUUAUAAAAGUUAGAAUAUUAAUAGACUAGGAUUAGAUACCCUAUUAUUCUAAAAUUAAAGAAUAAAUACCUGGGUAGUAAAAUAUAUUUAAACCUAAAGAAUUUGGCGGUAUUUUAUUUUAAUCAGAGGAACCUGUUCCGUAAUCGACAAUCCUCGUUAAAUCUUUCUUAAUUUUGUAUUUAAUCAUUUUGUAUACCGUUGUCGUCAGAAUAUUCUUUUAGGAUAAAUUUUCUAAUUAUUGUGAGAUUUAAUGUCAGAUCAAGGUGCAGACUAUAAUUAAGUGGAAAUAGGUUACAUUAAAAAUAAUUAUUUAUGUGAAUUGUAAAGUUUAAUUUUUAUAUGAAAUUGGAUUUGAUUGUAAUAAUUAAAUAAAUAGAGUUGUUAUGAAAUUAACCCUAAAAUAUGUACAUAUCGCCCGUCACUCUCUUUAAUGUAAUGAGAAAAGUCGUAACAUAGUAGAUGUACUGGAAGGUGUAUCUAGAAUUAAGGUA
Molecule: non-coding RNA, 834 nt
Filed under: Pedetontus silvestrii
Lineage: Eukaryota; Metazoa; Arthropoda; Insecta; Archaeognatha; Machilidae
Source: RNAcentral